GAUGAACGCUGGCGGCGUGCCUAAUACAUGCAAGUCGAGCGAACAGACGAGGAGCUUGCUCCUCUGACGUUAGCGGCGGACGGGUGAGUAACACGUGGAUAACCUACCUAUAAGACUGGGAUAACUUCGGGAAACCGGAGCUAAUACCGUAUAACAUGUUGAACCGCAUGGUUCAACAGUGAAAGACGGUCUUGCUGUCACUUAUAGAUGGAUCCGCGCCGCAUUAGCUAGUUGGUAAGGUAACGGCUUACCAAGGCAACGAUGCGUAGCCGACCUGAGAGGGUGAUCGGCAACACUGGAACUGAGACACGGUCCAGACUCCUACGGGAGGCAGCAGUAGGGAAUCUUCCGCAAUGGGCGAAAGCCUGACGGAGCAACGCCGCGUGAGUGAAGAAGGUCUUCGGAUCGUAAAACUCUGUUAUUAGGGAAGAACAAAUGUGUAAGUAACUAUGCACGUCUUGACGGUACCUAAUAAGAAAGCCACGGCUAACUACGUG
Molecule: ribosomal RNA, 497 nt
Filed under: uncultured bacterium
Lineage: Bacteria
Description: partial 16S ribosomal RNA
Rfam family: Bacterial small subunit ribosomal RNA
Source: RNAcentral